UAAGACAGAGGGGGCAAGCGUUGUCCGGAGUGACUGGGCGUACAGCGCGCGCAGGCGGUUGGUGACGUGCCGUGUCACAGCCCUGAGCUCAACUCAGGGUGGCCACGGUAGACGCACCGGCUGGAGGCAGGGAGAGGGAUGUGGAAUACCCGGUGGAGCGGUGAAAUGCGUAGAGAUCGGGUGGAACACCAGUGGCGAAGGCGGCAUCCUGGCCCUGACCUGACGCUGAGGCGCGAGAGCGUGGGGAGCAAACGGGAUUAGAUACCCCGGUAGUCCACGCCGUAAACGAUGUGGAGCCGGUGUCGGACGGUGAUUGUGCCGUUCGGUGCCUGAGCUUACGUGAUGACUCCACCGCCUGGGGACUACGGCCGCAAGGCUA
Molecule: ribosomal RNA, 379 nt
Filed under: uncultured bacterium
Lineage: Bacteria
Description: bacterial SSU rRNA
Rfam family: Bacterial small subunit ribosomal RNA
Source: RNAcentral